GGCCCGACUCUACACAUGUGCUG
This 23-nucleotide small nuclear RNA is filed under the name Arabidopsis thaliana (thale cress). RNAcentral describes it as "snRNA_03362". Lineage: Eukaryota; Viridiplantae; Streptophyta; Magnoliopsida; Brassicales; Brassicaceae. The record is from RNAcentral.